GUGGGGAAUAUUGCACAAUGGGCGAAAGCCUGAUGCAGCAACGCCGCGUGAGUGAUGAAGGUCUUCGGAUUGUAAAGCUCUGUCUUUUGGGACGAUAAUGACGGUACCAAAGGAGGAAGCCACGGCUAACUACGUGCCAGCAGCCGCGGUAAUACGUAGGUGGCGAGCGUUGUCCGGAUUUACUGGGCGUAAAGGGUGCGUAGGCGGAUGUUUAAGUGAGAUGUGAAAUACCCGGGCUUAACUUGGGUGCUGCAUUUCAAACUGGAUAUCUAGAGUGCAGGAGAGGAGAAUGGAAUUCCUAGUGUAGCGGUGAAAUGCGUAGAGAUUAGGAAGAACACCAGUGGCGAAGGCGAUUCUCUGGACUGUAACUGACGCUGAGGCACGAAAGCGUGGGUAGCAAACAGGAUUAGAUACCCUGGUAGUCCACGCCGUAAAACGAUGAGUACUAGGUGUAGGAGGUAUCGACCCCUUCUGUGCCGCAGUAAA
RNAcentral lists this ribosomal RNA (486 nucleotides) under uncultured bacterium. RNAcentral's name for it is "partial 16S ribosomal RNA". It matches the Rfam family "Bacterial small subunit ribosomal RNA", at positions 354 to 855 of the family's 1533-position model. The record is from RNAcentral.